Long non-coding RNA from Myotis daubentonii (Daubenton's bat), 8880 nucleotides. RefSeq lists it as uncharacterized. The transcript has 3 exons. Lineage: Eukaryota; Metazoa; Chordata; Mammalia; Chiroptera; Vespertilionidae. The record is from RefSeq and is a predicted model, not a curated record.
GUCGAUUUGCACAUUAGCCUUUUAUUUUAUAGGAUAUGUUCAUAGUAAAUGACAUAUAGGCUCAGCGACUUGUUUCAUGCCAUGUAAUUGGGAAAAUCCAGGGCUUGAGCCCAGGACUCUGAUGGUGAACUCUGGCUCUCUGUUUAAUAUGCCAGAACUAUCUUUAAGAUAUAUGUUCCUAAUAUUUAAAUAGUCCACUUUGUCAAGCUAGUUGCUGUCUGGGCUCGCAUCAGGAUGCUCCUAUAAUGAGAUGUUCUUAUGAGAGCCAACUUUCUGGAGUCACUUAUUCUUUCAAGCACAGAUAUGUCAUUUGACUACUGAUGUCCUAUAAGAUCUAUGAUCUCGGUGACCUUCCAGAACUUCGGGUAAAUUUUCCAGGAUUUCCUCAGGAUCCCACUGGGAUUCUUAUCUGUUUUCGGUUGUGAUUUGUCACCUCGCCCGUGUUCUCUUGAUACCAGUUGCUAAUCUUAUCUGCACGCCUGCAGCCUGAUAUUUUCUCUCUGCUUCAUUUGUCCUAAACUUGGACAGAAUCUUCUCUCAAUUCUCUAAUGCACCAUUAAUAAAAGAUCAUGAUGCGAUACAAUCUUUUCCUAACACUUGGGGUGUAUUUCAGGGAAAUUGUAGCAUGGUGCAGGCAAUGUUAAAUUUUAAUAUGGGAUCCUUUUGUUGGCCUCCAGCCUGCUGUCUCUUUAUAGAAAAAUAUCUGCCUGUCUCCUCUCACCCCAGUGUGCCAGAAAGCUCAAAAUUCUCUUUUGUGUGCCAAACUGAACCCAAAGUCAGCUAGCUUUAGAAAUGCCAGUUCCCACCAUGGCUCAGUCAAGAAAAUAAUUGUUAAUGUCAUUUUAUAUAAGUUAAUUAAAUUAGAUAUUAGGGCCAUAAACAUAAUCAUGUUAGACACAGCCCCCUUGGAAACUAAUUUUAAAAUGCUAUGUUAUUUUUAUGGUUCAGGGAGUUUUGCAGAUACAGACCACUUAUGUAUCCAGUUACAGAAUAAUAUGAAACAAUUUUACUAUGAAACAGUGAAAUCUGGAUAGUGAGAUAGGAAAGAAAUGAAAAGUAACUAAUAUUUAUCUAAGUGGCUUUUCAACAAUGUGAUUUUUCUCUCAGAGAAACUUUAAUGUACAGAAAGACUGUAGUUAUUUGAGAGAUAAAUUACCACUGUUUCAUUAAAGUGACAAUCAUAAGAAUGCUUCAGCUUAGCUUUAAAUUCAUCUCAAAAUCUCAUUAUUCUACUCAUAUUAUUGAUAACUUAGUAAUUAUAUUUCUUCAGGUACUUUAAAUUGUAUCUUCACACAUAAUAUGUUUAUUUAAUUAUAUUUUUAAAUAUUCAAAUGCUGACACAAAAAAAGCAAAACUUUCCCAAAAUUUAAACAAAUCUUGUACACCUAAUAAAUAAACCAUUUCAGCACAGUGAGUCAGGAGUUCUUUAAACCGUGUCAGUAUUCUCCAAAUUGUUGUCAUGAUGCUGUGAUAGUAUUCAGCUGGAUUGAAAUCUCGACUGAUCUUUCAGAAUAUCUAGAAUGACUUCAUCAAACAUUAUAGGCUUCUCAAUGCUAAAUGUAUGCAUGUCAUUCCAAUGAUUAAAAUUGUAUGCCUAUUUCUACCAUCUAUCAAAAUAAAAGCAUAAUAUGCAAAUCAACCGAAUGGCCAAACAUCAGAACAACUGUCUGGAUGAUAUUCCAGAACACCUUCCAGAUGAAGCUGGGGCUGUGAGGGCUGAGGCAGCCAGGGCUGCGAAGGCCUACUCUUGCAAGAAUUUCAUGCAUCAGGCCUCUAGUUAAAUAAUAAAAUCCAUUUGUUUAUUUAUUUAAACUUCUUUAUAUUUAAUAAUUAACCUUUCCAGGAUUAAAGAAAUGGCCAGGAAAUCAUGUUAUCAUAUGUAGCAAGUUAAAGGCAGUUAUCAGUUCAAAAACUGAGGCUAGAAUGUUGAACCUGAGAGAAACUUACACCCAGGAUAUUUGACUUUCAACAUUGAUGACAAACCGAGCUCCAUGACAAACAUCUGUGAACAGGAGAUUUCAGUUAUAGUUGUGUACUUCUAAAGCAUAUAAAACACAUUAUAAUUUCCAUCCUUGUUUCUACCACACACCACCUUAUUUUUCCCAGUUCUUUUUUCCUGUAUGGGUUGGAGAAAAUCUAUAACCUCCUAUCAGUGCAACACACACAUGCAAUCACCUACAAACACACACAUAUGUACACACAUGUACAUACGCAUUGCAGCUAAGUUGCUUCUUAAUCUCUUUAUUAUGAUUGUAUUGGAUUGUGUAUCAAUAAAAUGUUAUUUAGGUCCAGCCAGACAAAAAUUCUCAUAGAUAUUUUAAUGUACCUAAUGGGUUCUGCAUACCUCAGGCCUUUUCCUGGCUCUGUGGUCCCCACACUUAAAUCAUGCUCAUGACACAUUGAUGUGCAUGUGGUUUUGCGUACAUUAGAUGAUCUAAGCUUUAUAAGUUGAGGGAGGUAUAUAUUUUUAUUCUGUUUUCUAAAACUAAAAGAGUGCCUCAGAAAUUCUAAACGACGUACGCCAUGUCACAGAGCCAGUGAGUGAUAGGCAGGGAAGGAAGCCCAAGCUGAUCUGGUGCAAAGCUAAGACCUAUCCACUACCACAUGGGGCUCUGUUCUUUUAAUAACCACCAUGGGAAUAUUUAUGGAAACGCUAUAUGCUAGGCACAGAUUUUGGAAAAGGUACAAAAGAUUUACUCUAAUGAGAGGCUAUGUGGAUAAAGUGGGAGUUACAAACCUAUAAUGGCUCCAAGUACAAAAAGAAAGGCUGUGGUUAGCAUGAAGGAGUAAUGCAGUUCAUGUCAGUGUGGGUGAUGUUGGAGCAGCACUGUGUAGAGGAAAGAGCUGGGCAAUCUCAAUUUUAAUGCUUGGGUUGUUUAUUUGCAGUAUGACUUGGGACAAGUUACUUCGCCAUUCUGGGCCAUAGUUUCCCUAUUUGUAAAAUAAGAAUACUAGUAUCUACUGCACUGUUUUAUUCUAAAAAUGGCAGAUACAAAGGACACAUUAAAUAGUAUGUGUGUGUUUCCAUAUGUUUGAAAAUAUGCGCAUUUAUAAUUUAUUUUAGUAAAGUCCACAUGUAUAUUAUCUUUUCAAUAUACGCAUUUACUUGUUCUGUGCAGUUCAAUAAAGCAAUUACUAUACCAAUUUUUUCAAAACAUAAUUUUGCCAAUACUAGUCCUCUUAGAAAAAUGACAUGUUUUCUGUGCACACAUUUGGGGAAAUUAUGGAACAAGACCACUGUACUUUACUUAGAAAGUAAAAAUAUAGCAUAUGUUAAAUUAAGUUUAAUAUUAUCAAUUUCCAAUACAGAGUAUUUACAUAUUUUUAAGACUUAGUCUUUAAUCAAGGACCAAGUCACUUUCUAACAUCCAACCCAAUUUCUCUCGCUCAUAAACAAAUAUUUCUUUUCUUGAUCUUCCCUAUUUAUGAAUGCAAAUUUAAUGUAGAUAGUAUUCAAUCAAAUACACACUUAGGUACCACAACAUAUUUUUAUUUUCUUUUUAGUUGUGUUUUGAUUUCUUUUUUCUCUUUAAGGCAAGUCUUCCAAAGCAUGGCAAUUUUUCUCCAGGAUAAUGGAGGCCAUGUAGCAGGACAGUUUUGACUGACACAGUCUUUUAUGCCAAGAAUACUUAUGUAAAAGUGCUUUAGAGGCGCUUGUUCCCAUCUUAAUCCCCUCAUCAGUGAUUUCCUUUGGACCUCUGAAUUUCCUUUUACCUGGUACCAACAACAGUAAAAUAAAACCACUCAAAGCACAAGAAGGGAACACUCCUUCACACCCCUCCUCUCAUUCAACAUCUGCUUUCCUCUGCUGUUUGAAGAGACAUUUUGAAGAGAAAGGGAAUCACAGUAGUAAUUUGAACCAGCUUAAGCAGUUUUGAUGUUUGAUGAAGCCAUCUGUAAUGAGGAUUUCAAAUCACCAAUAUAAUCAGUGUUUGCUUAUGUUAAAAUUCUGUGUCUUACGCAUUGAAUUUAUGUAGUUCUUGAAAUCAUUUUUUAUAUUUUUCACUAGCUCAGUAAGUGACUGUUAUUUAUUGGUGGCAAUAAGUUAAAUUUUGGCUGGUUAGGGUUUGUAUUGUCUUAUGUUUUCUGAAAAUGUUGAACCUGAGCUAAAAAUUUAUUUGCUUGUUUAUUUAGAAUUAAGAAUACUCUUUGGCAUGACUAGUCACAUACAUAAUCAUAUAUCCAGUAUGUAACCAUUUGUUAAUUUGAUAGUCUUUGUACAAUGAAAUAAAUAUAUCACUAUUUUCCUUAAUUUCUAUCAAGUAACUCCUGCAAUGAUUACUAUAUUUCUCUUGAAACAUCAAUUAUUAAUUUUCCAGGUUAAAUCUUAAUUUUUCCACAUUUAUGGUUAAGCAAAUGAAAUAAAAUCAAGCAUAAUAGAUUUUUAAUAAAGGUAUAUUCUUGAGAAUAUAAGACAAUUAAAUUUUCAAUCAAAGGAAUAUACACUGAGUGGCCAGAUUAUUAUGACAGGCCAGAUUAUUAUGACCACCCCAUCAAUACUUCAUUGGGCCACCUUUUGCCUUCAAUACUGCGGCGAUUCUUCUUGGCAUUGACUCCACGAGAUGUUGAAAGGUGAUGCGAGGAAUCUGACACCAUGCCUGAUGAAUAGCACUGUCCAGUUCUGUGAGAUUUGAUUUUUGUGGAACCAGCUUCCUGGUGGCUCUUUUAACUUUGUCCCACAAAUGCUCAAUUGGAUUGAGGGGGCCACCUAAGCAAGGUAAAGUCUCCCUCAUGUUCUUGAAACCACUACUGCACAAUAUGAGCACCGUGGCAUGGUGCAUUGUCUUGUUGGAAAAAGCCAUCUCCAUUGGAAUACGCCAUCAACAUGAUAGGAUGAACUUGAUCAGCAACGAUACUUAGAAGGGAAGGACUUCAAGAUGGCAGAGCCAAGGAAGAAAAGCCACUGGGGGCGAGACCCUGACCACAUUUGUCUGUGACGUGAGCUAGGAAGCCACUGAUCUGGGGGUGUUUGUUCCAGCAGCUGCUGUUACUAAUGUUGUUCAAUGUAACAGUUUAUAUCAGGUGUUUAAGGCCGCCCACCAUAGAUGUGCGGCUUUCCUAGGAGCCAAGUUCUACCCUGGAUCAGGAGCCAGAAAACCCAUGAAAAUAAACCUGGAGGCUGGCCCUGGCCUCAGAGAGCACCACAGCUAAGGACAGGAGCCAAGACCUGGGCAAGAGUGGUAUUCCCUCAGAGGUAACAGCCAACGCUCCAACCAACAAUAGAGGGUGACAGGAAAGUGGCAACUUCUUAACACAUUUGAGAGGAAACCUAUUUGGAACCCAGGAAAGACCAAAUCACUUUAAACAGACAUUCUAAAUCUUUAAACAGUAAAAAAAAAAAAAAAAAUAGUGCAUUAGGUUUUCUCUCAUUCACACCUCUAACUCUGCAUUGUUCUUCAUGAUGAUUAAAAGAAAAAUCUCUAUAUGUAUGUUAAUUACAUGAAGGAUAUUCUUUAGAAAUAUAUCCUAUUUUACACAAUAGUUAUGCAUUAUAGCAUAAUUUGGUAAACUAAUAUUAGGUUAAAAACAAAAUUAUGAGGAAGGCACAAAGAUUUCCCAUGUAUGCCUGCCCCAGACAUGCACAGCAUCCAUCAUGAUCAACAUCCCACACCACAGUGUUACGUUUAUUGCCAUUGAUACACCUACUUUGACAAACCAUUAUUAACCAAAGUCCAUAUUUCACCUUAGUGUUGGUGUUGUAUAAUCUAUGAGUUUGGACAAGUGUAUAAUGACAUGUAUCCAUCAUCAUGGCAUCAUACAGAGUAGUUUCACUGCCCUAAAAAUCCUCAGUGCUCUACCUAUUCUUCAGUCUUUCCCCUCCCAUUUCCUAACAACCACUGAUCUUUUUACUGUCUCCACAGUUUUGCCUUUUCCAGAAUGUCAUAUAGUUGCAAUCAUAUGAUAUGUAGCCUUUUCAUAUUUUCUUUCACCCAUUAAUAUGUAUUUUAUAGCUUGAUAGCUUAUUCCUUUUCAGCACUGAAUAAUAUUCUAUUGUCUGGAUACACCACAAUUUAUUUAUCCAUUUACCUACUGAAGCACAUUUUGAUUGCUUUCAAGCUAUGGCAAUUAUGAAUAAAGCUGCUAAAAACAUCUAUGUGCAGCUUUCGGUGCAGACAUACAUUUUCAAUUCCUUUGAGUAAAUACCAAGGAAUAUAAUUGUCCUAGUAUAUGGUAACAUCAUGCUUUCUUUUGUAAAAAAAAACUGCCAGAGUGGCUUUACCAUUUUGCACUCCCAUUAGCAAUGAAUACGAAUUCCUGUUGCUCUACAUCCUUGUCACCUUUUGGUGUUGUCCGUGUUUUAGAUUUUGGCCAUUCUAAUAGCGAUGUUUUGAUUUGCAUUUCUCUGAUGACAUAUGAUUUGGAACAUUUUUUCAUGUAUUCAUGUGGCCUCUGUAUAUCUUUGGUGAGUUGUUUAUUAAGGUCUUUGGCCAAAUUUUACUUUAUUUUUUGUUAAUUUAUUUUUAUUGUUGAAAGUAUUACAUCUGUCCUUUUCUCCCCCAAUUUUAUUUUUAAGUAUAUUUUUAUUGAUUUCAGAGAGGAAGGGAGAGAGAGAUAGAGAUAGGAACAUCAAUAAUGAGAGAGAAUAAUUAAUCGGCUGCCUCAUGAAUGCCCUCCACUGGGCAUGUGCUCUGCCUGAGAUUCAAACCAUGACCUCCUGUUUCAUGGGUCGAUGCUCAACCACCGAGCCAUGCUGGCUGGGCUCCCCCCAAUUUUAAAUCAAGUUGUUUAUUUUCUUAUUGUUGCAUUUAAUAGUUCUUUCUGUAUUUUGUGUAACAAUGCUUUAUCUGAUGUUUGUGUGUUGUUUUUUUUAAUAUUUUCUACCAGUCUGUGGCUUGUCUUCUCAUUUUCUUGACAUGGUCUUUUGGAGAGUCUUUAAUUUUAAAGACUAGCUUAUCAAUCAUUUCUUCAUGGAUUGAGUCUUAAAAUGUACUUUUCACCCUAGUUGGUUUGGCUCAAUGGAUAGAGCAUCAGCGUGUGAACUGAAGGGUCCCAGGUUUGAUUCGGGUCAAGGAUACUUGCCCUAUUUGUGGGCUCAAUCCCCAGUAGGGGGUGUGUAGGAGGCAGCCAGUCAAUGAUUCUCUCUCAUCAUUGAUGUUUCUAUUUCUCCCUCCCCUUUCCUCUCUAAAAUCAAUAAAAAUGUAUUUUUAAAUGUAUUUUUCAAUGUCUUAGAAUUAAAUGCAAACAGAGGAGAAAGUCAAAAGAGAAAAUUAACAUUAUGAUGUAAUAUAUUUUCAAUGCCAAAAUUACAUAUAAUUUAACUACAAAAAAUUUGAUGUUUAUAGGAUUUUAUUAUAGGAGAGUACACCAUUAUAGUGGGUUACAGAAAUUGUCACACUUAGAUGCACUGCUAUAGCAUAUUUUCAUCCCAAUAUUGUAAAGCUAAGAAAUAAGCAAUUUUGCCCAGGAAGUAAGUGGUGAGGGAAUUUUUGCAGCUAAUGGAAAUGUACAUUUUAAUAAAGAAAUUUUUGUUAGAAUUUUUUAAUAGUUCUUCUAAUGCAUCUUAUUUAAUGGACAGUUUAGGUCAACAAAAUCUGGCUGGCUAAUUAAAAAUUAAACUCUACUUGAAAGGACAAAUUUAUUUCAUCAACAACCUGUAUAUCAAGACAUAACUGUUGUGUUUGGUCUCUUAGGAGCGCUUUGGAGUUAACUUGUACUUGGAGUUGUAUAAAUUCCUCAAUGUUAGGAGAUUUGACCUUUUUCUCAUUCGAUCUUUGAAUUUUCUGCCAAGACUGGAUGCCUAAAAUGACAAACUACUACAAGAAAAGUGUCUUGUAAUUUUCUGGCAGUUGCCCAGAAUAUAAUAUAGGAAGUGAGACUGAAAAGUACAUUCUAUGAGAAACCACUGAAGCAAUAAUUUUUAAGAUGUUACUCUAGUGACCUGAAAGACAUGAUGCAGGUUCAAAAUAAAAAAAAAAGAUAAAAGAAAAAUAUUCAUGUAUCCAGGGAGUAACUUACCAAUAAGUUUUGGAACACAGCAGAAAACAAAUAAAAAAAACAACAACAACAAAUAAAAACAAAACUCUAAGAGAACUAGAGGUCAUUUAAUGCAAGUAUUUUCAUUUUAGUCUCAUUAUGAAAGUUCAAAAAUGCAUGUUGUUAACACAUUUGUUGUUAUAUGUUACAGACAUUGUAUAAAAUUAUGAUGAUAAUUAUACUAUUUUACAUGUUAGUUUACAUGACAGAAAUCCACUGAUUUUCUAUAGCUUCUGAAUUAAUGGUAAUGCCUUCUUUAUAUUUUAAGCAGUUUAGUAUUUACAUAUUUCUUUCAGUUUCAUUUAUCACAAAGAGUUUCUGUAUAAAUUUGAUUAUAUUAUAAAAGUUCUUUGUACUUAUAGGAAAUGAAUAAUUGUGGACCACAUCAUGAUUUUUGUCUUGAAUUUUGUUUGCAUUUGUAAAAUUUGCCUGUGAUGUUACCUAUGCUAUUUAGUGUCACUCUAUAUAAAGCAUGUCUUUUGGAAGUUGUAUGAUCUAUGGCAGUGAUUCUCAACCUUCCUAAUGCCGCGAUCCUUUAAUACAGUUCCUCAUGGUGUGGUGACCCCCAACCAUAAAAUUAUUUUCAUUGCUACUUCAUAACUGUAAUUUUGCUACUGUUAUGAAUCGUGAUGUAAAUAUCUGAUAUGCAGGAUUAUUUUCAUUGUUACACAUUGAACAUAAUUAAAGCAUAGUGAUUAAUCACAAAAAAUAUAUGUGUUUUCCGAUGGUCUUAGGCGACCCUGUGAAAGGGUGGUUCUACCUCCAAAGGGGUUGCGACCCACAGGUUGAGAACCACUGAUCCAUAGUUUUUUCUUUGACUCCAUCACAGUCAGAGUUUCUUAUUUGUAUGUUGUUUGAAUAGAAGGUUUUAUGUUAUUUACAAGUGUUAUAAAAAUAUUUGGCUCA